GCCUCUGUAGCUCAGUGGUAGAGCGUUUCCUUGGUAAGGAAAAGGUCGCGUGUUCAAUUCACGUCGAAGGCU
RNAcentral lists this transfer RNA (72 nucleotides) under Candidatus Naiadarchaeales archaeon SRR2090153.bin461. RNAcentral's name for it is "tRNA-Thr". It matches the Rfam family "tRNA". Rfam says of the family: Transfer RNA (tRNA) molecules are approximately 80 nucleotides in length. Their secondary structure includes four short double-helical elements and three loops (D, anti-codon, and T loops). Lineage: Archaea; Nanobdellati; Candidatus Undinarchaeota; Candidatus Undinarchaeia; Candidatus Naiadarchaeales. The record is from RNAcentral.